Molecule: small RNA, 420 nt
Filed under: Pan troglodytes (chimpanzee)
Lineage: Eukaryota; Metazoa; Chordata; Mammalia; Primates; Hominidae
Description: processed transcript
Source: RNAcentral
ACAGCUUCCAAAGGGUCAGGUUUCUUCCUCCUCACCCUACCCGGACCUUAGGACCCCAAGGUACCUUAUCUCCCUGGGAGCGGACAGGGAUGCAACCAACGACGAUGGCGACCUGCCCUCCGACCUCAUCGACCCGGACUACAAGGAGCUGGUGGAGCUCUUCAAAGGGACCACGAUGGACUGAGCCAGCUCUGCCCGCCCGCCCCCGCGCCCAGGGCCGCCUCCCUGGAGAAGCCGCGCGUCGCCCAUGGGCCAGCACGUGCCCCACCCGUGGGCCAGGGGCGGCCGGACCCGUCCCUCCACGACCCCGCCACCCCUCCUAGGCCUGGCUUUGUCUCCAGGUGAAUUUUUUACUGUGACACUUUUUACUUUUUCAAUAAACGUGACUCCCAGGUGAGGGGGCCUGGGUCUACACACGUG